GAACGAACGCUGGCGGCAGGCCUAACACAUGCAAGUCGAACGCAUCGCAAGAUGAGUGGCAGACGGGUGAGUAACGCGUGGGAACCUUCCCAGUGGUACGGAAUAGCUCAGGGAAACUUGGGGUAAUACCGUAUAAGCCCGAAAGGGGAAAGAUUUAUCGCCAUUGGAUGGGCCCGCGUCGGAUUAGCUAGUUGGUGAGGUAAUGGCUCACCAAGGCGACGAUCCGUAGCUGGUCUGAGAGGAUGAUCAGCCACACUGGGACUGAGACACGGCCCAGACUCCUACGGGAGGCAGCAGUGGGGAAUAUUGGACAAUGGGCGCAAGCCUGAUCCAGCCAUGCCGCGUGAGUGACGAAGGCCUUAGGGUUGUAAAGCUCUUUGGUCGGGGACGGAUAAUGACGGUACCCGCAGAAUAAGCCCCGGCUAACUUCGUGCCAGCAGCCGCGGUAAUACGAAGGGGCGUAGCGUUGUUCGGAAUCACUGGCGUAAAGCGCACGUAGGCGGA
Molecule: ribosomal RNA, 504 nt
Filed under: uncultured bacterium
Lineage: Bacteria
Description: bacterial SSU rRNA
Rfam family: Bacterial small subunit ribosomal RNA
Source: RNAcentral